CAAGGAAGCAUCCAAAGGGAUCGCAUUGAUCCUUUCCUACAUCAUGAAUAUCUAUGUGUGUCUACAAGAUAUAUGUGAACCAUGUUGAUCAGAGUUCAUAUAUGUGUGUGUUGAAUUUGGAUCAUGCUAUCCCUUUGGAUUCCUCCUU
This is a non-coding RNA of Daucus carota subsp. sativus, 148 nucleotides long. The record is from Rfam. NCBI's taxonomy places the organism in Eukaryota, Viridiplantae, Streptophyta, Magnoliopsida, Apiales, Apiaceae.